GCCCUCGUAGCUCAUGGGCAGAGCGCCCGCCCGACACGCGGGAGGCGAUUGGUUCGACACCAGCCGGGGGCACCA
This 75-nucleotide transfer RNA is filed under the name Acidobacteriota bacterium. Its description in RNAcentral is "Acidobacteria bacterium (groundwater metagenome) tRNA-Val". It matches the Rfam family "tRNA". Rfam says of the family: Transfer RNA (tRNA) molecules are approximately 80 nucleotides in length. Their secondary structure includes four short double-helical elements and three loops (D, anti-codon, and T loops). Further hydrogen bonds mediate the characteristic L-shaped molecular structure. tRNAs have two regions of fundamental functional importance: the anti-codon, which is responsible for specific mRNA codon recognition, and the 3' end, to which the tRNAs corresponding amino acid is attached (by aminoacyl-tRNA synthetases). tRNAs cope with the degeneracy of the genetic code in two manners: having more than one tRNA (with a specific anti-codon) for a particular amino acid; and 'wobble' base-pairing, i.e. permitting non-standard base-pairing at the 3rd anti-codon position. The record is from RNAcentral. Lineage: Bacteria; Pseudomonadati; Acidobacteriota.